RNAcentral lists this transfer RNA (90 nucleotides) under Cercophora newfieldiana. It matches the Rfam family "tRNA". From Rfam's summary of the family: Transfer RNA (tRNA) molecules are approximately 80 nucleotides in length. Their secondary structure includes four short double-helical elements and three loops (D, anti-codon, and T loops). Further hydrogen bonds mediate the characteristic L-shaped molecular structure. tRNAs have two regions of fundamental functional importance: the anti-codon, which is responsible for specific mRNA codon recognition, and the 3' end, to which the tRNAs corresponding amino acid is attached (by aminoacyl-tRNA synthetases). tRNAs cope with the degeneracy of the genetic code in two manners: having more than one tRNA (with a specific anti-codon) for a particular amino acid; and 'wobble' base-pairing, i.e. permitting non-standard base-pairing at the 3rd anti-codon position. The record is from Rfam by way of RNAcentral. Lineage: Eukaryota; Fungi; Ascomycota; Sordariomycetes; Sordariales; Lasiosphaeriaceae.
GGGCGUGCGGCUCAGUUGGUAGAGCGUUCGCUUAGCAUAUCCUCCUCUGGAAUAUGCGAAAGGUCCUGGGUUCGAUUCCCAGCUCGUCCA